UGCUUAACCAUGCAAGUCGAACGAUGAACCGCUUUCGGGCGGGGAUUAGUGGCGAACGGGUGAGUAACACGUGGGCAAUCUGCCCUGCACUCUGGGACAAGCCCUGGAAACGGGGUCUAAUACCGGAUAUGACCGUCUGCCGCAUGGUGGAUGGUGUAAAGCUCCGGCGGUGCAGGAUGAGCCCGCGGCCUAUCAGCUUGUUGGUGAGGUAGUGGCUCACCAAGGCGACGACGGGUAGCCGGCCUGAGAGGGCGACCGGCCACACUGGGACUGAGACACGGCCCAGACUCCUACGGGAGGCAGCAGUGGGGAAUAUUGCACAAUGGGCGAAAGCCUGAUGCAGCGACGCCGCGUGAGGGAUGACGGCCUUCGGGUUGUAAACCUCUUUCAGCAGGGAAGAAGCGAAAGUGACGGUACCUGCAGAAGAAGCGCCGGCUAACUACGUGCCAGCAGCCGCGGUAAUACGUAGGGCGCAAGCGUUGUCCGGAAUUAUUGGGCGUAAAGAGCUCGUAGGCGGCUUGUCACGUCGGUUGUGAAAGCCCGGGGCUUAACCCCGGGUCUGCAGUCGAUACGGGCAGGCUAGAGUUCGGUAGGGGAGAUCGGAAUUCCUGGUGUAGCGGUGAAAUGCGCAGAUAUCAGGAGGAACACCGGUGGCGAAGGCGGAUCUCUGGGCCGAUACUGACGCUGAGGAGCGAAAGCGUGGGGAGCGAACAGGAUUAGAUACCCUGGUAGUCCACGCCGUAAACGGUGGGCACUAGGUGUGGGCAACAUUCCACGUUGUCCGUGCCGCAGCUA
This 795-nucleotide ribosomal RNA is filed under the name Streptomyces sp. N1. RNAcentral's name for it is "bacterial SSU rRNA". It matches the Rfam family "Bacterial small subunit ribosomal RNA", at positions 45 to 854 of the family's 1533-position model. The record is from RNAcentral. Lineage: Bacteria; Bacillati; Actinomycetota; Actinomycetes; Kitasatosporales; Streptomycetaceae.